RNAcentral lists this ribosomal RNA (505 nucleotides) under uncultured bacterium. RNAcentral's name for it is "bacterial SSU rRNA". It matches the Rfam family "Bacterial small subunit ribosomal RNA", at positions 30 to 507 of the family's 1533-position model. The record is from RNAcentral.
UGAACGCUGGCGGCGUGCCUAACACAUGCAAGUCGUACGAGAAAUCCCGAGCUUGCUUGGGAGAGUAAAGUGGCGCACGGGUGAGUAACGCGUGGGUAACCCACCCUCGAAUCUGGGAUAACUCCGCGAAAGCGGUGCUAAUACCGGAUAAGACCACAUUCCGUUCGCGGAAAGAGGUAAAAGCUGACCUCUCCAUGGAAGUUAGCGUUUGAGGACGGGCCCGCGUCCUAUCAGCUUGUUGGUGGGGUAAUGGCCUACCAAGGCAGCGACGGGUAGCUGGUCUGAGAGGAUGAUCAGCCACACUGGAACUGAGACACGGUCCAGACUCCUACGGGAGGCAGCAGUCGGGAAUUUUUGGGCAAUGGGCGAAAGCCUGACCCAGCGAUGCCGCGUGUGUGAAGAAGGCCUUCGGGUUGUAAAGCACUUUCAGCAGCGAAGAAAUGUCGGGGGCCAAUACCCCCUGGCUUUGACGUUAACUGCAGAAGAAGUACCGGCUAACUCCGUG